Molecule: ribosomal RNA, 226 nt
Filed under: Neodidymelliopsis farokhinejadii
Lineage: Eukaryota; Fungi; Ascomycota; Dothideomycetes; Pleosporales; Didymellaceae
Description: partial 28S ribosomal RNA
Rfam family: Eukaryotic large subunit ribosomal RNA
Source: RNAcentral
UUGACCUCGGAUCAGGUAGGGAUACCCGCUGAACUUAAGCAUAUCAAUAAGCGGAGGAAAAGAAACCAACAGGGAUUGCCCUAGUAACGGCGAGUGAAGCGGCAACAGCUCACAUUUGAAAAUCUGGCGUCAUUUGUCGUCCGAGUUGUAUCUUGCAGACGGCGCUUUGGCAUCGGCACCGGUCCCAGUUCCUUUGGAUUAGGCCGUCACAUGAGGGGUGAGAAUC